GUGGGGAAUAUUGGACAAUGGGCGAAAGCCUGAUCCAGCCAUGCCGCGUGUGUGAAGAAGGUCUUCGGAUUGUAAAGCACUUUAAGUUGGGAGGAAGGGCAGUAAGUUAAUACCUUGCUGUUUUGACGUUACCGACAGAAUAAGCACCGGCUAACUUCGUGCCAGCAGCCACGGUAAUACGAAGGGUGCAAGCGUUAAUCGGAAUUACUGGGCGUAAAGCGCGCGUAGGUGGUUUUGUAAGUUGGAGGUGAAAUCCCCGGGCUCAACCUGGGAACUGCCUCCAAAACUGCAUGACUAGAGUACGGUAGAGGGUAGUGGAAUUUCCUGUGUAGCGGUGAAAUGCGUAGAUAUAGGAAGGAACACCAGUGGCGAAGGCGACUACCUGGACUGAUACUGACACUGAGGUGCGAAAGCGUGGGGAGCAAACAGGAUUAGAAACCCCUGUAGUCC
This 450-nucleotide ribosomal RNA is filed under the name uncultured bacterium. RNAcentral's name for it is "partial 16S ribosomal RNA". It matches the Rfam family "Bacterial small subunit ribosomal RNA", at positions 354 to 796 of the family's 1533-position model. The record is from RNAcentral.